AGCCAUGUGGUGUAUUACACAUCGAAUUGCAAAUUCGAAGAAGCAGCUUCAAUCCUGCCCCGGCUU
This 66-nucleotide transfer RNA is filed under the name Pipistrellus coromandra (Indian pipistrelle). Its description in RNAcentral is "tRNA-Cys". It matches the Rfam family "tRNA". From Rfam's summary of the family: Transfer RNA (tRNA) molecules are approximately 80 nucleotides in length. Their secondary structure includes four short double-helical elements and three loops (D, anti-codon, and T loops). Further hydrogen bonds mediate the characteristic L-shaped molecular structure. tRNAs have two regions of fundamental functional importance: the anti-codon, which is responsible for specific mRNA codon recognition, and the 3' end, to which the tRNAs corresponding amino acid is attached (by aminoacyl-tRNA synthetases). tRNAs cope with the degeneracy of the genetic code in two manners: having more than one tRNA (with a specific anti-codon) for a particular amino acid; and 'wobble' base-pairing, i.e. permitting non-standard base-pairing at the 3rd anti-codon position. The record is from RNAcentral. Lineage: Eukaryota; Metazoa; Chordata; Mammalia; Chiroptera; Vespertilionidae.